AUUUCCAAAUUAUUCACAGAUUCACAAUCCAGACUGCCUGGUCUACAGUGCCCUCUCUCCUUUCACGUUCAAGUAGACUUUUUAUUUCCUUCUCCUUAUGCUGCUGAGAGAAAAAGAGAAGCAGCAUUGAUUAAAAUUCCUCAAGUUUAAUAUUUUCGCUUUUAACAAAUUUCGGACUUAGCUUUUUAAACCCAUUGGCCUCUUUAAUGGGCGCUUUUUUUUUGUAAUCCAUUGUAAUCACAAUGUUCUAAAUUAAUACAUGAAAAUGAAUUAUGUUUCAGGUUUUUCAAGAAUGCAGAAGUUAAGGAAUUGGAAACUUCUGUAUGGGUUUUACAUCUAGUAGAUGCUUAAUAAGUACAUGUGAAUAUCAAUAAUCUAAAGUUUCUCAAAAUCCAAGGCCUGAAAACCAGUAUGAUAAACUGAACUGAAAUAAACAGCCUAUCACCUACUAAACAAAACCCAGGCUCCAAGUGACUGUGUAAUUUCCCCUUUCAUUUCCUUUAGUGAACGAUGGUUAAAGUUUUAAGAUUCUAUUUUUUUGCAGCGGUCUUGCCCCUUUGUGACGGGCCCUACAAAUCUACGUUUGAGGUUGAAGCAGGAGACAAAUUAUGCAGCAACUUGCUUCUGCUUUAGUUUUUUCUGCACUAUCACCCGCGUUUUCAAUUCUGAAGUCAACCCUCAUGCAAGUGUUCCCUUCACAUUGAACUAAGGGACUGAAGGGACAUUUCGGACCAAACAACAAAGACCUGGCCUUUCCGCCGCAGACAGCGCGCCUCCCCUGGCAGCCCGUCGGGGACAGAGACCACCCCAACCCGGCAAGAGUGCGGGGCCCGGCCCGAGGGCGGGCGGGGUCAAGGGGCGAGCCUGCGCCGCCAGCUGAAGGCCGCCUACAGAGAGCCGAGCCCGAGGCUAGCCGUGUAGGAAAGCAACCAGGACUACCAGAAACAACCAGGACUUCCCGGGAUCUUGGCGACCACUCACCCAUGGGCCGCCUGAAGGUUUUUUUCCAGAAGCACUAGACCAGCGGAUCUGGCAGCUGCACCGAACAUCCGGGCCACAGCGAGCUCGGCGGCUCCGCCUCCCAGUAACCUGAGCAACCGCUCCGAAGUUCCUCCCCCAUUUCCGGGUUUAGGCUCCGAUGUCCCGCCCCACGAGGGGUCGCUGCUUCGCGUCCCGCCCUCCUCGCCAGGAGUCAGUGGGUAGGGGUCGGGCUUGAAGUCAUCGCUGCAGGACGGUUCUUGUGUCCCCGGACGCAGACCAUGGAGAGCGCGCUGGCGGUGUCCCGGCUGCCCCCGCAUGAUCCGGGGACGCCGGUGCUGUCGGUGGUGGACAUGCACACGGGCGGCGAGCCCCUGCGCAUCGUGCUGGCUGGGUGUCCGGAGGUGUCCGGGCCCACCCUGCUGGCCAAGCGGCGCUACAUGCGCCAGCACCUUGACCACGUGCGGCGACGGCUCAUGUUCGAGCCCCGAGGGCACCGGGACAUGUACGGGGCUGUCCUAGUGCCGAGCGAGCUGCAGGACGCGCACUUGGGCGUCUUGUUCCUGCACAACGAGGGCUACAGCUCCAUGUGCGGCCACGCAGUGCUGGCGCUGGGCCGCUUCGCCUUGGACUUCGGGCUUGUGCCGGCGCCCGCUGCGGGCACCCGCGAGGCCCGCGUCAACAUCCACUGCCCGUGUGGGCUGGUGACCGCCUUCGUGGCGUGUGAGGACGGCCGCAGCCACGGCCCGGUGCGCUUCCACAGCGUCCCGGCCUUCGUGCUGGCAACAGAUCUCAUGGUGGAUGUUCCCGGACAUGGAAAGGUGGUGGUGGACAUUGCAUAUGGCGGUGCAUUUUAUGCAUUUGUUAGUGCUGAAAAGUUAGGACUAGACAUUUGUUCUGCAAAGACCAGGGACCUUGUGGAUGCAGCGAGUACGGUAACAGAGGCAGUGAAAGCUCAGUUUAAAAUUAAUCAUCCUGAUAGUGAAGACCUUGCCUUUUUAUAUGGAACCAUAUUAACAGAUGGAAAAGAUGCUUAUACCAAGGAACCAACCACCAACAUUUGUGUUUUUGCAGAUGAACAGGUUGACAGAAGUCCCACUGGCUCGGGAGUGACAGCCCGAAUUGCCUUACAGUAUCACAAAGGGCUUCUGGAACUGAACCAGACCAGAGCCUUCAAAAGCAGUACCACUGGCUCAGUAUUCACAGGGAAAGCUGUGAGGCUCAGUAUGACAGAGACUCCAUUCCAGGUGGAAAAAAGCACAAGGCUCCCUUCUCUGAGAUCCCAGGACUAUCUUAUUCUCCUCAGAGGAGCAGGUUACAAGAACUUCACAUCUCUCAGGCUACAUGUUGCAGAGGUUAAAUUCCAGGGGUUGUCUCAACAAGUCAAGGAAGGAGCAGCCCAAGAAUACCAUCAGAGAUGCAGCUUUCCAGGCCUCCAUCCUGGACUGUUCAAUUAUUCUGGGGAAACUCAACUGCCAUGUUGUGAGGACACUCAAGCAGCCCUAUGGAGGAGCCCACAUGGUGAGGAACGGAGGCCUCUUGCCAACACACAUAUGAGUGAGCCAUCUUGGAAGCAGCUUCAGCUGACAUCUUAAUUACAACCCCCUAAGAGACCUGUAUCAGAACUACCCAGCUAAUCUGCUCCAAGUUUCUGACUUACAGAAGCUUUGAGAGAAUAAUUGUAUUAAGCUGCUAAAUUUGGGGCUAGCUUGUUACACAAUAAUAAUACACAUAGUAGAAAUAAGUAUGGGUUCAUAAAACAUUUCAGUUAUAGAUGAGUGUGUGCUAGGUCUCAGUAUAAGAUGAACCCCUUCUUAUAGGUUGCAGUAAAAAACAAAAUGGAAAAUUCUGCACAAAACGAACCAAGCAACAGUUUUCUACUCUGAGGUCUUGCUGCUGCCUUCCUGAGGUCUACAUGGGAAUCAAGAUAUAGGUCCUCUUUGCUUUCAGGUGCCCCAAACUUAUUAGUGGCUCAUGCAGCCUUCAUUGCCCCAUCGUUCUCUAGCCAGGCCAGUCACCAAGGGUGGGCAGGAAUACACAGGGCACAAAGACACUUCUCAAAGAGCUAUCUACAUCUAAAUUUUUUUUUUGAGACGGAGUCUCGCUCUGUCACCAGGCUGGAGUGCAGUGGUGCGAUCUUGGCUCAUUGCAAUCUCUGCCUCCAGGGUUCAAGUGAUUCCCCUGCCUCAGCCUCCCAAGUAGCUGGGACUACAGGCAUGCACCACCAGCCCCAGCUAUUUUUUGUAUUUUAGUAGAGAUAGGGUUUCACCAUGUUGGCCAGGAUGAUGUCAAUCUCCUGACCACGUGAUCUGCCUGCCUCCGCUUCCCUAAGUGCUGGGAUUACAGGCGUGAACCACCGCACCCGGCCUCUCCUUGAUUUUCUAAACUCCUCUCAUCCAACCUGAAAACAUCUUUAUCUAGUCUUUAGGAUAGUCAUCCUGGCUUUUACAGCUUUGUGUGUUCUCUUGAACUUAUUAUCUUGAUUACAAACCUUCCUAUUUAAAGCAGGACCAAAACUUUAACCAACCAAAGACCUCUCUGUUUUUGGCACAGCCUCCUUUAGUUCAGAAAAUCCUAAAGGUAAGGGAAGUCCUGUGUGUAUAAGGAAAUACAGUGGAAAAAGCCUUCAAAUAAUAUUUGAAAACGUUA
Macaca mulatta (Rhesus monkey) is the source of this 3627-nucleotide non-coding RNA. NCBI's taxonomy places the organism in Eukaryota, Metazoa, Chordata, Mammalia, Primates, Cercopithecidae. The record is from RefSeq and is a predicted model, not a curated record.